This 3526-nucleotide long non-coding RNA is filed under the name Homo sapiens (human). RNAcentral describes it as "non-protein coding BCDIN3D-AS1:10". Lineage: Eukaryota; Metazoa; Chordata; Mammalia; Primates; Hominidae. The record is from RNAcentral.
AGAUGUUCCCAGGACGCGAGCUAAGUCUGCCCGGCCGGCGCGCGCCGCUUCCGCUUUGGUGGGAAGGACCUCCCUUCCCCCUUAUAGAAACACUUUCUCCAGGCCGGGCCGGGCUUGGUAAACCUCAGCCGUGCCUGGGUAGAGGACGCCGGGCUGGGCCGAGCGGGGGUGGAAUGAGGGCGUCUAGAACAGAGAAAACUAAGAUGGGGUCGUCCCCCCAGUAAUCUGGAAAACAGUUACAGCAACAGGCUCCUCUCAUCAGACGGCAGUGCUGGUCGUUUCCUCACUGGUUUGCGGGGAAGGCUGGGCAGAAAAAGGAUGCAACCUUGUUCUCAACCACUUGCUAUCUCGAUAGGGUCUUGCUGUGUCACCCAGAUUGGAGUGCAGUGGUGUGAUCACAGCUCACUGCAGCCUUGACCUCUAGGCUCAAGUGAGCCCCUACCAAGCAGCUGGGACUACAAGUGCGCACCACCAUACCCAGCUAAUUUUUUCAUUUUUUGUAGAGACAGGGUCUCACUGUAUUGCUCAGGCUGGUCUUGAACUCCUGAGAUCAAGCGAUCCUCCCACUGUGGCCUCCCAAAGUGCUGGGAUUAUAGAUGUGAGCUACCAUGCCUGGCCUCAAAACAUUUUUGUAAUCUGGCUGUUUUCCAGUUGGAUGGACUCUGAGUGCAAUCUCAAUGUCUUUCCUGAUCAGUAAGAGGAAGAAAGGAGCUGUUGUAUAAUCUUUGGUCCACUUGCUAUAUAGGAAUAGAUCUUUACUGCUACAUAUACAUAAUUCUGUACGGAACAGUCAUGUUCCUUGGAUUCUGACAGCAUCGCCAAUAUGUGCUUUGAAACCUCCUACCUGGCACAGAUAUGAUGAAUCUACUCAUAUCCUUGAACCUCUUUUUCAUCACUUUUCAUCAUUCAAACAUUUUUAUUGAAUCUAUAUGCUAAGCUCUGUAUAUAAAGUAUUAGAUAACUUGUACAGAGUUCAUGUGGGGUAUGAUAAACAAUGAGACUGGAAAGGUAAGCAGUGGGUAGAUCAUCCUUUAUCCUAAGAGCAGUGUAGCCUUUGAAUGGUUUUAAGCAGGAGAGUAGCAUAAUCAGAUUUGCAUUUUAGAUCCAUGUGGUUGCAGUGAGGAGGAUAGAGAGAGCAAGACUGAAGUCAGGGGGGCCAGGCAAGGUUUUUGUAGUACCUGAGGAGAAAAACGAGAAAUGAUGUGGUCUGGACUAGGAAAGUGAUAGUGGUGAUGGAGAGGACGUAGAAAUGCCCAGGGGGCAUCCAAGUAGAAACAUCUCUCCAACUCGUCAGAACUUCCCAACUGUGUGCCUCAGGAAGAGUUUACGGUGGUGCUGCAUAAUGGGCUUCACAAUUCUCAGGGCAGCACAAGCUUCCUGAGUCAGAGAGCAAUCUUGGUUAUGCCAGAUUGCAUCAUCCAGCAUAUAAAACACCAUCAUUUACUAUGUGUGUACUGACAUGGAAAAGGUUGGGAAGCACUGAUGUAGGCUGUGGGAUAAAUAAUUCUGAAGCUCAGGAGAGGAAUCAGGAUGAUAGAUAAGAGAUUUGUGAGUCCUCAGAACGUUGGUGGUUACUGAAGUCAUGGAGUUGAGGAGAUCAUGCAAGGAGAGAAAAGAAAGGCAGGAACAGAACCCCAAGGAACAUCAACAUUAGAGGGGGGUCUCCAGAGAGGGAGAAAGAAAACUGAAUGAAUGCUGUCACCAGAACCCAAGAAAGGGAUUUCCAAAAAAAAAGACCAAAUACAGUCGGUCCUUCUUAUUGGUGGCUUCCACAUCCAUGCACUCAAUCAAUCUCAGAUCAGAAAAAAUAAAAGAAUAAAAACUACAUCUCUCUGAAGACUAGAUCAGAAAAAAAAAUAACUACAGCAAUAAAAAUACAAAAUUUUAAAAAUUUAGUGUUAACUAUUUACAUAGUAUUUACAUGAUAUUACAUAUUAUAAGUAAUCUAGAGAUGAUUUAAAGUAUAUAGGAGAAUACCCCUAGGUCAUUUGCAAAUACUAUACUAUUUUAUGUAAGGGACUUAAGCAUCCUUUGAUUUUUGUAUCCUUGUGGGUCCUGGAACCAAUUCCCCAUGAAUAGGAAGGGAUGAUUUUUUGGCCCCGAUGUUGCUGAGUCAAGUUGGAUCAGGACAGAGACAUCCCCACUGACUCUGGCCACAUGUCAUUGGAGACUUUGAUAAAACCAGACUUUAUUUGUUUAUUUAAAAUAGAGAUGGGGUCUCACUCCAUUGCCCAGGCUGUUCUCGAACUCCUGGGCUCAAGCAGUCCUCCCCUCUUGGCCUUCCAAAGUGUUAGGAUUACAGGCGUGAGCCACCACGCCUGACCUGGCAAAACCAGAUUCUGAAGGAUUGAGAAAAAUUUACAAAGUAAGGAAUGGAGACAGGAGAUGUUUAAAACUUUUUGGCUGGGCGCGGUGUCCCAUGCCUGUAAUUCCAGCACUUUGGGAGGACGAGGUGGGUGGAUCACCUGAGGUCAGGAAUUCAAGACCGGCCUGGCCUACAUGUGAAACCCCGUCUCUACUAAAAAUACAAAAAUUAGCUGUGUGCGGUGGCAUGUGCCUGUAAUCCCAGCUACUCAGGAGGCUGAGGCAGGAGAAUCGCUUGAGCCUGGGAGGUGGAGGUUGCAGUGAGCCAAUUGCGCCAUUGCACUCCAGCCUGGGUGAUAGAGUGAGACUCUGUCUCAAAAACAAAACAAAAACACAAACAACAACAAAAAAACUUUUCUAAGAUUUUGGCUAUGCUGUGAGGGAAAAAUUAGGCAGAUAGAUGGGUGGUACAGUAAGAGUUAUUUUAGAAAACACUGGCUAAUUUUAAAAAUUAUUCAUUUAAGAUUAGUUUUUAUAAAAUGUAAUAUGUCCAUAUGGUUUAAUAAUCAAAUAAUGCAGAAGCAAUUAUUUGCUGCAUUCCUUACCUCCAGCAAUGAGCCAUUUUAACUUUUUGGCUGAUUCUUCUAUAUGGCUAAAUAUGCUUAUACUGCCAUUCCUUUUUUUUUUUUUUUUUUUUUUUUAAGAUAGAGUCUCACUCUGCUGUCCAGGCUGGAGUGCAAUGGCACAAUCUCGGCUCACUGCAACCUCUGCUUUCCAGGCUCAAGCAAUCCUCCCACUUCGGCCUCCCGAGUAGCUAGGACUAUAGGCACACGCCACCAUGUUCCGCUAAUUUUAAAAUUUUUUUUGUAGAGAUGAAGUCUUAUUGUCUUACCCAGGCUGGUCUGUAACUCCUGGGCUCAAGUGAUUCUCCUGCCUUGGCCUCUCAGUGUUGAGAUUACAGACAUGAGCCACUGCACCCGACCUGAGGACCUCAUUUUUAUGGGCACUAAUUGCACAUCCUUUUUGUUUUUGUUUUUGUUUUUUUUUUUUUGAGACGGAGUCUCGCCCUGUCGCCCAGGCUGGAAUGCAGUCGUGUGAUCUCAGCUCACUGCAACCUCCACCUCCCGGGUUCAAGCGAUUCUCCUGCCCCAGCCUCCCAAGUAGCUGGGAUUACAGGCGCGUGCCACUACGCCCAGCUAAUUUUUGUAUUUUUAGUAGAGAC